AGUGAACGCUGGCGGUAGGCCUAACACAUGCAAGUCGAACGGCAGCACAGUAAGAGCGUGCUGUUACGGGGGGGGAGAGGGGGGCGGGAGAGGAAUACAUCGGAAUCUAGUUUUUCGGGGGGGAUAAGGAAGGGAAAGUUACGCUAAGACCGCAGACGACCUACGGGGGAAAGGGGGGGAUAUUCGGAGCUGGCGGGAUUGGAUGAGCCGAUGUCGGAUUAGCUAGUUGGGGGGGUAAAGGCCCACCAAGGCGACGAUCGGUAGCUGGUCUGAGAGGAUGAUCAGCCCCCCUGGACCUGAGCCACCGUCCAGACUCCUACGGGACGCCGCAGUCGGCAAUAUUGGACAAUGGGCGCAAGCCUGAUCCAGCCAUCCCGCGUCGGUGACGACGGCCUUCGGGUUGUAAAGCCCUUUUUUUGGGAAAGAAACGCUGCCGCUUAAUACCCCGCUGUUCUGACGGUACCCAAAGAAUAAGCACCGACUAACUUCGUG
This 492-nucleotide ribosomal RNA is filed under the name uncultured bacterium. RNAcentral describes it as "partial 16S ribosomal RNA". It matches the Rfam family "Bacterial small subunit ribosomal RNA", at positions 29 to 507 of the family's 1533-position model. The record is from RNAcentral.